Molecule: long non-coding RNA, 574 nt
Filed under: Lonchura striata (white-rumped munia)
Lineage: Eukaryota; Metazoa; Chordata; Aves; Passeriformes; Estrildidae
Description: domestica (Bengalese finch) lncRNA (ENSLSDG00000006452.1)
Source: RNAcentral
GGAAUAGGAAUGGGAAGGGAACGGGAAAACGGGAACGGCCCCGAGCCGCCUCCCGUCCCCUCAGGGCCGCCGGGGCCGGGCGGGCGGAGCCGGGAUCGGCCGGGAAUGGCGGAGAGACCGGAACGGGCCCGGGCUGCCGGGGCCCGGAGCAGGUCACCAGAUCCCGUCGAGGACGUGCUUGGGGAGCUCCUGGGAUCCGAUGGUAAAGGGAGAGCUCCCGGCGGGCUCACCUGGGCUCACCUGGGCUCACCUGGGGAGGUCACCUGGGCUCACCUGGGGCUGCCCCGCCCUCCCCGUUCCCACCUGGCCCCGGCUCCAUCCCUGACCCCUCCCUUGUUCCCAGAGGACGUCCCGGCUCCGCCCUGCCGAGGUUCCCGCGCCGCCUUCCCACAGGUGAGCCCAGGUGAGCUCAGGUGGGCUCAGGUGAGUUCCAGGUGGGUCCAGGUGAGCUCCAGGUGGGUCCAGGUGAGCUCCAGGUGAGCUCCUGGUGGGUCCAGGUGAGCUCCAGGUGAGCUCAGGUGGGUCCAGGUGAGCUCCAGGUGGGUCCAGGUGAGCUCAGGUGGGUCCAGGUGAG